This 253-nucleotide ribosomal RNA is filed under the name uncultured bacterium. RNAcentral describes it as "partial 16S ribosomal RNA". It matches the Rfam family "Bacterial small subunit ribosomal RNA", at positions 524 to 776 of the family's 1533-position model. The record is from RNAcentral.
UACGGAGGGGGCUAGCGUUAUUCGGAAUUACUGGGCGUAAAGCGCACGUAGGCGGGUCAGAAAGUCAGAGGUGAAAUCCCAGGGCUCAACCUUGGAACUGCCUUUGAAACUUCUGGUCUUGAGAUCGAGAGAGGUGAGUGGAAUUCCGAGUGUAGAGGUGAAAUUCGUAGAUAUUCGGAGGAACACCAGUGGCGAAGGCGGCUCACAGGCUCGAUACUGACGCUGAGGUGCGAAAGCGUGGGGAGCAAACAGG